GUCCUUUUGAAUAUAAUUUAAGGUCUGGCCUGCCCACUGAGGUUUUGAAGGGCCGCAGUAUUUUGACUGUGCAAAGGUAGCAUAAUCAUUAGUUUUUUAAUUGAAAGCUGGAAUGAAGGGUUAGAUAAGGAAAAAACUGUCUCAAUUUUAUUGAUUUAGAAUUUUAUUUUUAAGUUAAAAAGCUUAAAUGUAUUUAAAAGACGAGAAGACCCUAUAGAGUUUUAUAUAAUAAAAAUUUUUUUAUAUUUAGAUUUUUUAAUUUUUAAGUUUUUGUUUAUAUUUAAUUGGGGUGAUUAUAAAAUUAAACAAACUUUUAUUUUAUUAUUACAUAAAUUAAUGAUUACUUGAUCUUAAUUUUUAGAUUAUAAGAUAAAAUUACCUUAGGGAUAACAGCGUAAUUUUUUUUUAGAGUUCAAAUCGAAAAAAGGGAUUGCGACCUCGAUGUUGGAUUAAAGUUAAUAUUUGGUGAAGAAGCUAAAUUAUUAGGUCUGUUCGACCUUUAAAACUUUACA
Molecule: ribosomal RNA, 512 nt
Filed under: Cerylon canstaneum
Lineage: Eukaryota; Metazoa; Arthropoda; Insecta; Coleoptera; Cerylonidae
Description: partial 16S ribosomal RNA
Rfam family: Archaeal large subunit ribosomal RNA
Source: RNAcentral